This 490-nucleotide ribosomal RNA is filed under the name uncultured bacterium. Its description in RNAcentral is "partial 16S ribosomal RNA". It matches the Rfam family "Bacterial small subunit ribosomal RNA", at positions 30 to 507 of the family's 1533-position model. The record is from RNAcentral.
AUUGAACGCUGGCGGCAGGCCUAACACAUGCAAGUCGAACGGUAACAGGAAACAGCUUGCUGUUUCGCUGACGAGUGGCGGACGGGUGAGUAAUGUCUGGGAAACUGCCUGAUGGAGGGGGAUAACUACUGGAAACGGUAGCUAAUACCGCAUAACGUCGCAAGACCAAAGAGGGGGACCCUCGGGCCUCUUGCCAUCGGAUGUGCCCAGAUGGGAUUAGCUUGUUGGUGGGGUAACGGCUCACCAAGGCGCCGAUCCCUAGCUGGUCUGAGAGGAUGACCAGCCACACUGGAACUGAGACACGGUCCAGACUCCUACGGGAGGCAGCAGUGGGGAAUAUUGCACAAUGGGCGCAAGCCUGAUGCAGCCAUGCCGCGUGUAUGAAGAAGGCCUUCGGGUUGUAAAGUACUUUCAGCGGGGAGGAAGGGAGUAAAGUUAAUACCUUUGCUCAUUGACGUUACCCGCAGAAGAAGCACCGGCUAACUCCGUG